RNAcentral lists this transfer RNA (80 nucleotides) under Streptomyces spororaveus. Its description in RNAcentral is "tRNA-Pro". Lineage: Bacteria; Bacillati; Actinomycetota; Actinomycetes; Kitasatosporales; Streptomycetaceae. The record is from RNAcentral.
GGCGCCGGUGGCGGGCCUGGCGCUGCGCCGGUUCGGGGCCCGCCGCACCGCGCUGGCCGGUACGGGGCUGGUCGUCGCCG